UGGGUGCGAUGACGUCAGGCAGCGACGUUUACUGAUGCCGGCCUUCCGUUGCAGACUUUCACGCACCGUUGUCCGUCCCGGAUGAGUGAGGGAAGCGCGAGCAAGAAGGUUAUUUAGAUGGGCGCGGUUGUCGGAGCAUCUUUGUUCACUUGCGUCGGGGCCGAGAUGACCAUAUGACGCAUAAAACGGCUUUCUUAUGCUACGUAUGCACAAGCGUGCAGCUAGCUACUCCGUACUCAUAUCACUAACUCCGUACCUUUGGAGCUUUGGAAUUCAACUGCUUUUUAACUCCCUACAUUCUCCGGACUCCGUACUUCUUGCCCGUUAUGGUA
This 332-nucleotide small nucleolar RNA is filed under the name Trichophyton rubrum BMU01672. RNAcentral's name for it is "HACA-box snoRNA". The record is from RNAcentral. Lineage: Eukaryota; Fungi; Ascomycota; Eurotiomycetes; Onygenales; Arthrodermataceae.